RNAcentral lists this long non-coding RNA (240 nucleotides) under Carica papaya (papaya). RNAcentral's name for it is "long non-coding RNA (CPAP_LNC007359)". Lineage: Eukaryota; Viridiplantae; Streptophyta; Magnoliopsida; Brassicales; Caricaceae. The record is from RNAcentral.
CCUCCUCGGUUUUUGCCUCCGAUGAGGCCCUUCCCGGCCUCCGUUUAAUGCAAUUUUUAUAUCACCGUGAUCACCAUUCUUUUCUCUACAGGUUGAUCGGAGCCGAAUCACCAAAACACGAACUUCACCAGAGAGCCGCCGCACCUGAGAGCACCGCCGCCGGUAAGCUUCGGUUUUCCGUAAUUUUUUGGCCCCCCGAGGGCCCUAGAGUUGUUUAAUCGCAAGGAUCGAUGCAAGUGU